GACGAACGCUGGCGGCGUGCUUAACACAUGCAAGUCGAACGGUAAGGCCCUUCGGGGUACACGAGUGGCGAACGGGUGAGUAACACGUGGGUGAUCUGCCCUGCACUUUGGGAUAAGCCUGGGAAACUGGGUCUAAUACCGGAUAGGACCACGCGCUUCACGGUGUGUGGUGGAAAGCUUUUGCGGUGUGGGAUGGGCCCGCGGCCUAUCAGCUUGUUGGUGGGGUAAUGGCCUACCAAGGCGACGACGGGUAGCCGGCCUGAGAGGGUGACCGGCCACACUGGGACUGAGAUACGGCCCAGACUCCUACGGGAGGCAGCAGUGGGGAAUAUUGCACAAUGGGCGCAAGCCUGAUGCAGCGACGCCGCGUGAGGGAUGACGGCCUCCGGGUUGUAAACCUCUUUCAGUAGGGACGAAGCGCAAGUGACGGUACCUACAGAAGAAGGACCGGCCAACUACGUGCCAGCAGCCGCGGUAA
This 478-nucleotide ribosomal RNA is filed under the name uncultured bacterium. RNAcentral describes it as "partial 16S ribosomal RNA". It matches the Rfam family "Bacterial small subunit ribosomal RNA", at positions 28 to 523 of the family's 1533-position model. The record is from RNAcentral.